AGUGAACGCUGGCGGUAGGCCUAACACAUGCAAGUCGAACGGCAGCAGAGUAAGAGCUUGCUCUUACGGGUGGCGAGUGGCGGACGGGUGCGGAAUACAUCGGAAUCUACUUUUUAGUGGGGGAUAACGUAGGGAAACUUACGCUAAUACCGCAUACGACCUACGGGUGAAAGCAGGGGCUCUUCGGACCUUGCGCGAUUAAAUGAGCCGAUGUCGGAUUAGCUAGUUGGCGGGGUAAAGGCCCACCAAGGCGACGAUCCGUAGCUGGUCUGAGAGGAUGAUCAGCCACACUGGAACUGGGACACGGUCCAGACUCCGACGGAGGGCAGCAGUGGAGAAUAAUGGACAAUGGGCGCAAGCCUGAUCCAGCCAUACCGCGUGGGUGAAGAAGGCCUUCGGGUUGUAAAGCCCUUUUGUUGGGAAAGAAAAGCAGCAGGUUAAUACCCCGCUGUUCUGACGGUACCCAAAGAAUAAGCACCGGCUAACUUCGUG
Molecule: ribosomal RNA, 492 nt
Filed under: uncultured bacterium
Lineage: Bacteria
Description: partial 16S ribosomal RNA
Rfam family: Bacterial small subunit ribosomal RNA
Source: RNAcentral